This 358-nucleotide ribosomal RNA is filed under the name uncultured bacterium. Its description in RNAcentral is "partial 16S ribosomal RNA". It matches the Rfam family "Bacterial small subunit ribosomal RNA", at positions 338 to 710 of the family's 1533-position model. The record is from RNAcentral.
CCUACGGGAGGCAGCAGUGGGGAAUAUUGGGCAAUGGAGGAAACUCUGACCCAGCAACGUCGCGUGAAUGAUGAAGGUCUUCGGAUUGUUAAGUUCUUUUCUAAGGGAAGCAGAGAGUGACGGUACCUUAGGAAUAAGCAUCGGCUAACUACGUGCCAGCAGCCGCGGUAAUACGUAGGAGGCGAGGGUUAUCCGGAAUGACUGGGCGGUAAGGGGGCGUAGGGGGUUUGGCAAGGUAGUCGCGAAAAUGCAAGGGUCAAACUUGGAACUGCUGCUAAAACUGUUGGUCUUGAGUGGAGGAGAGGCAAGCGGAAUUCGUGGUGUAGCGGUGGAAUGCGUAGAUAUUAGGCAGAACUCC